RNAcentral lists this long non-coding RNA (1041 nucleotides) under Phasianus colchicus (ring-necked pheasant). Its description in RNAcentral is "lncRNA (ENSPCLG00000020486.1)". The record is from RNAcentral. Lineage: Eukaryota; Metazoa; Chordata; Aves; Galliformes; Phasianidae.
UGAACACCAUUCCCAAGCCACUCUGCUCCCUCAGUUCUACUGGUGCCACAGUUGAGUGUAGUUCUGUAACCAUGACUGCUGAAAUGACUUGGAUUAAAAAAAACAUUUUGUCACUGAAGUAGCCCAAACAUUGACAUCAUCACCUACAGGAGGCAGCAAAAUCUGAGCUGGAACAAGAAUAAUUAAAUAGGCUACAUGUGCCUUUGACUAGGUUUGCCAUGAAUGUAAACAUAUUUUUGAACCGUUCUCUAAGGUAAUCAAGUGUUGCCAAGCUUGCUGUGUCUCACAGCCCUUUAAAAAUAGCUAUGCUGUUUUGAAAGCCUUGCAGAAAAUUGGAAGGUGAGUAGCCAAAAUCACAGAUUCUGUUGACAUGGUUAGAUUGUAGGGUAGUACACCCAGAUAUUGCUACUUGAGGGCUUUGGUUACUCCAAGAAGAGUGGAUAGACAUGGACAGUUGAAUGGAUUGACACGUGCAUGAGUAAGUAAAUGAUAAGCCUAUGAUAAACUUUGAUUUGCUUGGUCCGAAAUUUCUAUUGUCGUGCGUAUUUUGUUUGUUUUGUUUGUUUGUUGUUGCUUUUACCCCCAAGGCUCUAACUCUAUUUCUGUGAAUAAUUUAGAGGGAAGUUAGAAUAGAGUAUAAUAUUUGAGUAAAAAUUGUUAUAAUAAAUCUUAUCAAGGGCUCAUUACAGCCAGAAUUGAUUGUAAAGUAAUAUAUCCCCAAAAGGAGCUUGUUAUAAAAACUCAGUCUUGAUGCAGCAGAGAGAAAGGCACACCUAGUACAUGAGUCAGCCCAUCCUGAGACACUUCUAAGAGAGGUGAGAAGAAUCUGCACUGCUGAUUCCUCCGCCCCUUCAUCCACUGUAGAGGGAGGCGAAACAAACAGCUUAGAUGCGUAACUUGUAAAUGGUGAAAGUAAGAAAAGGUAAAACAUAUUUUGUAUGCAGAAAAUGUUUUCAAGAAAUGAAGAAGAACUGUGACAACUUUUGCUCCCCCCUGAUGUCAAUCAAUCAACUGAAACUCACUUCAGAUUCCUUUAGAUAA